This is a long non-coding RNA of Triplophysa rosa, 1082 nucleotides long. RefSeq lists it as uncharacterized. Lineage: Eukaryota; Metazoa; Chordata; Actinopteri; Cypriniformes; Nemacheilidae. The record is from RefSeq and is a predicted model, not a curated record. The transcript has 3 exons.
GUUGUUUGUUUUUAAGGAGAAUCAGGCGGAUAAAACAGAGAAAUAACUCACUGUCACAGAUUGAUCAUCACAGUCCCCCUCAUAACAAAACAUGUGAUGUUGACUUGACAUGUAAUGAAAUGUAUGAGAAUAUAAGGAUUGCUAAUGACAGCUGUCAUGAUUCAGACUCAAGUUCUCCUGACUAUGAGAAUGUUACAGUAUUAGAGUAAGUUUCUGUAAGUCCAACUCCUUCCACACCUUUUUUUACUCGUGUAAUAUUUCAGUUGAACAGAGAGAUGCUGUAGAGGCCAAUAAAAAACACACAAAAAACAUUUGACAUCCCUUAAAAGCAUUGUGUGGGCGGAGCUCUCGAUGAUUGACAGAAGUCAGACCUGACAUGACCAAUUUGACAACCCUGAUACACACCUGCGAAAGACGUCUAUUUAAUGUCUGCAUUUACAUCUGCAAGUGUUUGUUCAUCUGCAAUACAUCUCAGAGAUGUCAGAUGUCACAUAGACAUGAUGUCUCAUAAGAUGUUUUUGAUUUAGAAUUAAUGUAAAACUGGCGUUUAUCAGAUGUUUUCCAGAUCUUUAGCAGACGCAGGGGCAGCGCCAGGACUUUUUUCUUGGGGGUGCUAAGGUGGCUUAACAGUUUAGAGGGUGGGCUAAUAAAAUUGUUCAAUUAAUAAAUGAAGAUAAAUCUCUUAUAUUAUAAAUAUGAUUAUUAAUAUAAAACAAUGUAUUAUUAACUGUUUGUUUUUGAUCAGCUGCCCACAUACAUCUAUGUUGUAUUUCUUUUGUUUCAUUUUUUUACAUUAAUUUCAUUAUCAUUACUUCCCCAUGGAUGUAUUUGUUAUCUUUUACUAUUUUAAUACAUUUAUCCAUUUAUUACAUGUAUUCAUUUAUUUAUAUGCUGCAUGUGACCCUGCCUGUAAAAACCCAGCAAAAAUGUUUUAUUGCUAUAUAAUGUAAAGAGCAUUCAGUGAAAGUAUAAUCUUGAUAUAUUUUAUAUUGAAUGAAAAAGACCAUGUCAAAAAUUAAAACAAUCGUGAAAUUAAUUAUUGAAAUGUAUUUAUUGACUUAAGCCUGGUUUUCACACACAGA